RNAcentral lists this transfer RNA (62 nucleotides) under Chrysolagria sp. CHR01. Its description in RNAcentral is "tRNA-Pro". Lineage: Eukaryota; Metazoa; Arthropoda; Insecta; Coleoptera; Tenebrionidae. The record is from RNAcentral.
CAAGAAUUAGUUUAUUAAAACAUUAAUCUUGGAUAUUAAAAAUAAAGUUAAUUUAUUCUUGA